This 252-nucleotide ribosomal RNA is filed under the name uncultured bacterium. RNAcentral describes it as "partial 16S ribosomal RNA". It matches the Rfam family "Bacterial small subunit ribosomal RNA", at positions 524 to 776 of the family's 1533-position model. The record is from RNAcentral.
UACAGAGGUCUCAAGCGUUGUUCGGAUUCAUUGGGCGUAAAGGGUGCGUAGGCGGCGUGGUAAGUCGGAUGUGAAAUCUCGGAGCUUAACUCCGAAACUGCAUUCGAUACUGCCGUGCUUGAGGACUGGAGAGGAGACUGGAAUUUACGGUGUAGCGGUGAAAUGCGUAGAUAUCGUAAGGAAGACCAGUGGCGAAGGCGGGUCUCUGGACAGUUCCUGACGCUGAGGCACGAAGGCCGGGGAGCAAACGGG